RNAcentral lists this unclassified non-coding RNA (220 nucleotides) under Hevea brasiliensis (rubber tree). Lineage: Eukaryota; Viridiplantae; Streptophyta; Magnoliopsida; Malpighiales; Euphorbiaceae. The record is from RNAcentral.
GCUCUCCAGUUUGUUUAUUAUUAGAGACGACUCACAAUCAUAUGCAAUUAGCAGUGUAUGUUUCGGUCUGGAUGACAAGCAGAUCUAUAAUUUUAAAAAUACCAUUUGUAGCAUUCUUUGUCAAGAGAAAGUAGAAAGUGAGGAUCUCAUAAUUGCUACUUUCAAGAUGCUUACUUCUGCUGCACGCUAUCAGGCUUCUUUUCUUACCGCUGUGAUCGCU